GGACAAGAUGGACACUGAAGGUUAGACAAGAACUAAAACUUCACCUUCUGUUUAGAAACAGGGCUCCGGGGCACAUUUUUGGAUCAUAACCUUAUCACUCAAGCGUAUAGGGUGAAUACAAAGAAUGUGCUUUGUUUUUUUUUUUUUUUUUGUUUUUUGUAUUUUUUUUUUUUUCCCCAUACAGGUACAGGCACUUUGUAAAUAUGUUAUGGGUCCAAAUAGAGUGGGUAAUGUAAGUAGAGUGUAAUGUGUAUUGCUGUCUGUUCAAGCUAAAAGUUGUAAAAAAGAAAUAAAAACUUGAAUUCCAAAGAAACAGGGCUCCGAAAAAUAAUGUUAUAAUCCUUUGUUCAGGUACAACAGGUAGUUAGACAAAGCAGACAAUGAGGUGAUAAAUGUCUGGUUCAGGCUUCAGAAAGAGGAACAAAGAGGCGUUAACGGAAAAGAAAAGAGCAGCUGUGGUGCAGGUAAUGAUGGAUGAACAGGUGGGAGGUGAUCCAGGUGGUAAAAUACUGAGAUACUGCAGCGUCAGAUGGAGGCUGAAAGACAAGCAUUGACUUGAAAACACCUGGAAGCAGAUGAAUAAAUGAAAUCCAGACAGAAGGUGACGUGACAUCGUUUUACUGGAAAAGAGCUUUUAGAACCACAUCAGGAAACUGAACACGCCAUUAAAAAACCACUUUAAACCACCGGCAUCCUGUCUUUAUAUCUACAUUAAUCCAUCUUUAUAUUGUUAUUUAUGUAACAUACUUAUGAUACCAGCGUCUUGUUCUAUCCAUAUACUAACCAUGUUCCUCCUGUAUGUGUAUACGUAUCUUCAGCACAUUCAUCCUGCCCUCAAGCUUUAACUACCCAUCUCAUAGUGCACUGCUUCUGCUGCUUCUUUUGCUCUUCUGAGAUGUUGAAUUGUAUUUUCUUGUCUUCUAAUCUAAUCUAAUCUAAUCUAAUCUAAUCUAAUCUAAUCUAAUCUAAUCUAAUCUAAUCUAAUCCAGUUGAGGAACACUUUCCUGCUCUCGGUUCAGUUUCCGACUGAUGUAAACACUGGAUAAGUGUGUGAGGAGACAUUUAAAGCCAUUUCCUUCCUGUUUUCUUAAACUGACCUCUCAUGUGUCACUGUGACUCCUGAGUUCUAAAAUAAAAAAGCCUCUGACAUGAAUUUUCUUCAGUUUUCCAACAGAUCAUGAAGAUUUUCUCAUAUUUUAUCUGACUGGAGUUCAGCAUCACACUCGUGGUUUCUUCAUCACGAGGCAACUCGUUACUCAACAUCAGCUGAUGACAUGAUUUGGUCAUUUCACAUUUUAUUCCCAUGAACUGAACCACAAGGAGACACGACAAAUCAGAGUCACAGUUUUAUCCACAUUUUUCACAUGAAGUCCUGCAGCUCUAUGAAACAGAACAACAUGAAGGAGAGAGAACUCAGACACGUCCUCAGUCAGUAGAACUGUUAGAAUGAUGGAAACCAGGAAAAGACAGUUUGGUCUUCACAUCCUGCAGAUGUUGAACNUUGUUCAGAGUGACUCUAAACUUGUUGUCAUUGUGGACAAAUCAUUAACUUACAAAACAUUAUUUUUCGGAGCCCUGUUUCUAAACAGAAGGUGAAGUUUUAGUUCUUGUCUAACCUUCAGUGUCCAUCUUGUCCUCUGCAGGCUCUGUAGCGCCCCCUGCUGUCCACACCCUGAGUGUGAGCUCUGCCAGCUGCUCCCUGCUGUGUGCUGUGGACGACGCUGCAGAGAUCACACUGUGGUGGUACAAAGACCAGGAGGUGGUGAACCAGAGCAGCUCUGCUGGAUCUCUGCCUCUCACUGUGACCAAGCAGGACCUCAACUCCUCUUACAGAUGUGUGGCUGGAAACCCUGCAGAGGAAAAGACUCUCCUGGUGGAUCUUCAGGGGGUCUGUGGACCAAACUUCACCACAAACACAGAAAACACAGAACAAAGACGUUGGAUCAUAACUGGACUCCGCAUCUUUGCUGUUGUCAGUUUGUUUACACUUGCUGCCGUUUUCAUCAAGUGUGUCAACAAGAAGACAACCACAGAAAGACAAGGAUGAAUGUGUGCAGUGGAGAUCGUUCCUCAUCUGGAGAUCCUGUGACAUCAACAGAGUCUUUCCAGUGAAGACGGAGACAGCUGGCCACGCUGCUUCAAACGUCCAGCUCAAGAAGUUCUCACUGGGUCUGGCUCGCCAUCGCGUUCAGCAGAACUUAAUCCAAGCAUCUGAUCCACUCAACAAAACAAAG
Stegastes partitus (bicolor damselfish) is the source of this 2234-nucleotide long non-coding RNA. RefSeq lists it as uncharacterized. The transcript has 3 exons. The record is from RefSeq and is a predicted model, not a curated record. NCBI's taxonomy places the organism in Eukaryota, Metazoa, Chordata, Actinopteri, Pomacentridae.